RNAcentral lists this ribosomal RNA (492 nucleotides) under uncultured bacterium. Its description in RNAcentral is "partial 16S ribosomal RNA". It matches the Rfam family "Bacterial small subunit ribosomal RNA", at positions 29 to 507 of the family's 1533-position model. The record is from RNAcentral.
AGUGAACGCUGGCGGUAGGCCUAACACAUGCAAGUCGAACGGCAGCACAGUAAGAGCUUGCUCUUACGGGUGGCGAGUGGCGGACGGGUGAGGAAUAAAUCGGAAUCUACUUUUUCGUGGGGGGUAACGUAGGGAAACUUACGCUAAUACCGCAUACGACCUACGGGUGAAAGCAGGGGAUCUUCGGACCUUGCGCGAUUGAAUGAGCCGAUGUCGGAUUAGCUAGUUGGCGGGGUAAAGGCCCACCAAGGCGACGAUCCGUAGCUGGUCUGAGAGGAUGAUCAGCCACACUGGAACUGAGACACGGUCCAGACUCCUACGGGAGGCAGCAGUGGGGAAUAUUGGACAAUGGGCGCAAGCCUGAUCCAGCCAUACCGCGUGGGUGAAGAAGGCCUUCGGGUUGUAAAGCCCUUUUGUUGGGAAAGAAAAGCAGCAGGUUAAUACCCCGCUGUUCUGACGGUACCCAAAGAAUAAGCACCGGCUAACUUCGUG